This 471-nucleotide ribosomal RNA is filed under the name uncultured Rheinheimera sp. RNAcentral describes it as "bacterial SSU rRNA". It matches the Rfam family "Bacterial small subunit ribosomal RNA", at positions 916 to 1381 of the family's 1533-position model. Lineage: Bacteria; Pseudomonadati; Pseudomonadota; Gammaproteobacteria; Chromatiales; Chromatiaceae. The record is from RNAcentral.
GACGGGGCCCGCACAAGCGGUGGAGCAUGUGGUUUAAUUCGAUGCAACGCGAAGAACCUUACCUACUCUUGACAUCCAGAGAAUUUGCUAGAGAUAGCUUAGUGCCUUCGGGAACUCUGAGACAGGUGCUGCAUGGCUGUCGUCAGCUCGUGUUGUGAAAUGUUGGGUUAAGUCCCGCAACGAGCGCAACCCUUAUCCUUUGUUGCCCGCGAGUAAUGUCGGGAACUCAAAGGAGACUGCCGGUGAUAAACCGGAGGAAGGUGGGGAUGACGUCAAAUCAUCAUGCCCCUUAUGUCUUGGGCUUCACGCAUGCUACAAUGGCCGGUACAAAGGGCUGCGAUACCGCGAGGUGGAGCGAAUCCCAGAAAGCCGGUCUCAGUUCGGAUUGGGGUCUGCAACUCGACCCCAUGAAGUCGGAGUCGCUAGUAAUCGCAGAUCAGCAACGCUGCGGUGAAUACGUUCCCGGGCCUU